UUUUUUCCUUUUAGUGUGAAUGCUUAAAAAUCACAGUAGCUAGUAGCAAGGAUAUGAAAGUAGAUAUUUUCGAAAUGAGUUAAAGAUGUGCAAAGAGAAAUUACAUCAUACUACACUUGUUCACACUAGCCAUCACUUUUAAGAUGUUGACUGCUAUUUAAUUGUUAAAUGAACAAACUCACUCAUGAAAUUGGACUGCACUUACCGACGUAGAGAUUUAAGAACCAAAUAGCAAAACAAAAAAGAACCAAAAUAAAUUAAAACAGUCCAUUAAACAGACCCAAAUAGACCUAAACCCCAUUUCAAUGAAAAAAACCAAAUAAAUCAAAUAACUCAAUGCCUAAAAGGCCCAAUGGCCCAAAACCUAGACCUAGGUUCAGCCUAACAGAAACCUAGGGUUUCCCUUGCGCCGCAGCUGGCCUCACAGCACCGUACAACCUCCAAUGCUUCAGCAGCCUCCAGUACACAGCCUCCGUACGCCCCAUGUCGAGUGCCACGUACCACCACAGCUGGCUCCGUACCCCGUACCUGCAAACCAAAACACGACAAUAGCACAAAAUAGCAAAAAGAAUGUAUUUUUCUUUUUUAUUUCGGCUAUAUAAAGCCAUACAAAAUUGUAUUGUUUUUUUUAGACACGAUCUAUUGAACACGCAUACUAAAAUACAAAAGCAACAAAAAAUCAAAAGGUGAUUUCGGAUUCGGUUCUUCUUUUCCAGUUGUUUUCUUCUUUGUUUUUUUUUUGGUUUUACAUACUGUGUAUUUGGAGUAUAAAAGAAAGAAAAGAAAAGUGAAGGCUUACCUUGCAAAUAUGCCACGAGAUUCCUUCUGCUUCGUUGAAAUCGAGGUAUGAGGGAUCCCAAAGCUGAAAAAACAAUCGCCGAGGCUCGAAUACACUGGUCGCCGACUGUUGUGGCGGAUCGACGUUUGAGCAAAAGGGAAUUAGCGUUCGGCCGAAUAUGGAAAAGGGAGUGUUUAGGUUUUUUUUUCCUAAAUGGCUUAGUUUUAGGGUUUUUUUUGGUUUUAACAAUGUAUAUGAAACGGCACCAUUUAGGGCCUGUUUCAGUGGCUCCAAAACGGUGCCGUCUAAGUCAACCCGUUUCGACCCGAUCCGAUUGCCCCCAGGAUCUGUGUGUUUUUGCGGAGAGGGGAUAUUUGUGCAUUGAGUCCUUCCUUUUCGCGUUGACGUUCAAUUGGAACCCAUUCAUAUUUUUCUUUUUCUUAAUUUAUUUCUGCAACUUGUGCGUAAAUCCAAUUUAGUCCGGCCUCAACGCUGCAUUUGGGAAUCUGGAAUAUUUCCAGUUUCGAUCCCUUUACAUUCGCACGCAUUAUGAUUUAGUCCCUAUUCUAUUUUUAAUGGCUUAUUUUAUUUAUUAAUUACUCCUUUAAGCUUCAUUUUAUUUCAAUUAAGUUUUUUUCAAUUUAUAUGAUUCAUUUUUAAAAGUUCACUUAGCUUUCAUCUUUUAAAUUUUUUUUUUGUUACAUUUUGAGUUACUUUGAUGAAUUUACUUUGUUUUUUUUUUGUUUUUUUAAUUUAUAAAAUUAUUAUUUUCAAAUUCUCUUUUAUAUCAUAUGAUUUUAAAUUUUUGUAUAAUCUUUAAUUUAAAUUACCCUCAUAUUAAUAUAUAUUUAUAUAUAAGUUUAUGUAAAAGUUAGUUGUAUUCUAUGAAUAUUAUUAAUCCCAUGUUAACUUAUUUAUAAAUUCUUUUAAAUCUAUCUGUGUAUAUUUUAUCUUUAUGUACAUAAUUCAUUUUUUUAAAGAACAUAUUUUAUUACAUAUUGUUGUGAUUUAAAAUUUCACAUGUUUAUAUACUAUUUUUUAUAUGCAUAUACAUUGUCCACUUUAAAUGGAUGUAUCAUUUUUAAAAUGUUUUUGUACAUUAUUUGACUCAAAUUUCUUCUUUCAUAAUAUUUAUUUUAAUAAUUAUUUAUAUAUUUGUAGUUUAAUUUUUUUUACAUGUAAAUUAUUUAAAAUUAUGGCAUGUGUUAUACUCGUAAUUUCUCACGUGUUUUUAAUUGUUUUGUACCAUAUCCUAGUGUCCAUAUUGUUUUGUAUAUAAUGUGUGUUUUGUUGGCUUUUUCCAUAUUGUUUUAUAGAUUAUUAUAUCAUAUUUUCAAUUGGUAUUUGGUGUUGUUAUCUUAAUUUUAUUUAUCUAUGUUUGAAAACUUGUUAUAGUUUUUAUUUUGAUUUGUUUCUUUAGUUAUAUUUUUAGUUUUCACUAUUUUGAUCAUUAAUGUUUGGAUGUGAGUUUAAUGUUAUUUUGUCCAUGUUAAUUCUUUUAUUUAUUUAUUUUUAUACUAUUUUCAUUCAUUAAUAGAGUUCGCUAUCCAUGUAUAUUGUCUCAUGUUUAUAAUUUUGUCUUUCAUUCGCAAUUGUCGCAUUGUAAUUUGUAACUUAUUGAUCCAAAAUUAAUGAUUCCAUUUUAUUUCAAGUCGAAUUAAUGUAUUUUGAGUCGACUUUUUAAAAACAAAGGCGAUAUUUGACGUUUGGAAAUUCGGGAAAUCCUGCCCUAACGUGCUGGGUUUCGAUUUUCUGUUUGUCCAAAUGAUCAAAUAUCCCUUUAAAAUUUCGUCCACGUUUUCUAAACUUUAAAAAAAAGGUGAUGUUUGAUACUUAAAAAUUCGGGAAAUCAAGCCCUAACGUGCUAGGUUUCGAUUUUCUGUUUGUCCAAAUGAUCAAAUAUCCCUUCAAAAUUUCGUCCGUAUUCUCUAAACUUCACAACAAGGCAAUAUUCUAUGUUUGGAAACUCGAGAAAUCCUGCCCUAACGUGUAAUACCCCCUACCCAUAUUCAUUGCCGGAAUAGGGUACGAGGUAUUACCGGAGUUUACGAUUUUUUUUUAUAUUCAAUAUAGCCCCUUUAUAAAUAUCUAACCUUCCCUGCAAUAUUAAAUUGAGGCCAAUCCACAUCAACCAAACCAAUUCAACAUAUUUUCAAGAUAAAUUCAUGCAUAUUUAUAAGAUAACGUCAUCACAUACCCAAAACCAGGUUUGUUAACUAUACUAAUGGCUAACUUUACAUUCAUUUCACGUUAACAUUUACUUUAUUAGCUUAUACAUGCCAUUGAUUUCCAAAAUAAAGUUUCUUUAUAUACCGAAAUCCUGAGGUUGAUAGUGUGAUGUGUCUCCGACCAAAUCUGACCUCCGAGCUCUUAACACUACAAAACAGGGGAAAAUGAAACAGGGUAAGCACUUUGUGCUUAGUAAGCUCAUGUAACAAGAAUUAUACUUACCUAAUAUUUUCAAUACAAUACAAUAAACAUUCAUAUAUCCAUUCAAUGCAUUAUUACCCUAACAUGCACAAACUCAACAUUCAAGUUAGUACAAUAAUUUCCAUGUACCAAUAAUAUAUACUAUGAUUGAUGAGCUCAUCAAUACCAUAAUUUUCAUUUCCUUAUAUAUAUAUAUAUAUUUUUUCAUAUUUAUCCCGUUGAAUUUCUUGGAAUUUUCGAUGGAUUUUCAGAGGUACACUUUUAGUGUACAUUUCCAGGUCCGUCAAUUCAUAUUCAUGUGCGCACAUUUCCAUUUCAGAGAGCACACUCCUGCGAACCUCAUCCUUACAGCGGGAUUACCAGUCCAGGCUAAAUCCCCUGUAAUAUAAACUCAUAGAGUAUUGUCGGGAUUACCAGUCCAGGCUAAAUCCCCUGCAAACGACAAUUACUCUAAUGAGCUUGGAUCUGAAUUACCAGUCCAGGCUAAUUUCAGACCCUAAUUCGGAUUACCCGUCCGGGCUAAAUCUAUUUUCCACAUAUUCUUCGGGAGGGCUAUAUCAGGAUAGGAUCACCCGUCUGGGCUAGAUCUUUUUUACCGUCAAUUCCUUUUCAGAGAUCCAUCAAAUUUUCCUUUCAUUCAACCGGGAUUUCUUCCCCUUUUAUCAAAUAUAUCAAUUUUUCAUAAAUUUCCAUAUAAUGAACAUUCAAAUCAUAUUCAUAUCAAAAACAUGCAUUUCAAGCAUUUAAGAAUAUAAUUCAAGUUACACGAACUUACCUUGAUACUUGUUCGUGUACAAAAAUCUACUAAUCCUGAACUUUUUCCUUUCCUCGAUCUAGCUCCGUAUUUGAAUCUUCUGGAUCUAAAUAAAUAAAUUUAAUUAUCAAUUUAAUACAUUUCAUGUUUAUAUGCAACAAUUUCUAUAAUUUCAUUAUUAUUAUUUAUAGUUUAUUCAAAGCUGUCUAUUUGAGUCAUAGUCACUAAAUUAUUUAUAAAUCAAGCUACGGAACUCCAAAUUAAGAUCCGUUAAUUUUCCCUGAAACUAGACUCAUAUAUCUUCUUACAAUAAAAUUUUCAAAAUUUUUGGUUUAGCCAAUAAGUACAGUUUAUUCUUUAAUGUCACCCCUGUUCUGCUGUCUGAUAGUUCUGACCCUUCUUCACUAAAAAUUAAUUAUCUCUUCAUAUAGAAUUCAGAUGAUGUUCCCGUUUGUUUCUCUUGAAAAUAGACUCAUUCAGGAUUCUAUGCAUAUAAAUUUAAGCCCAUAAUUAUUUUUAUUCAAUUUUUUAUGAUUUCUCAAAGUUAGUCUACUGCUGCUGUCCAAUAUUUUUUUAGUGCAAGCUGUUUAUUACCAUUUUUCCCCUAAGCUUUUAAUAAAUAACAAUUUCGUCCCUACUCAAUUAGCCUCUCAAUUGAGCUUAUUUUUCUUAAUUAACACUUUAUUCUAUCACCUUAAACUAGUUUACAACUUUUAGGAAUCAAAAUUUCAGCAAUAGACUUUAAUUCCAAACAUUUUCACAAUUAGGUCCUAAAAAUCAAUUUCUAUUGAAAUUACCUAAUAAAAUCAUCUCAUAAACAAAUUAAAGCUUUAAUUUCAUUCUAUCUCAUCAUAAACUUACAGCACUCAACCUUGGUGACUUUCAAUUUCAUCCAUGCAAUCAAAAACUAAUGAAUUUAAUAGUAGGACCUAGUUGUAAAAGUCUUAGAAACACAAAAAUUACAAGAAAAAGGCAAGGAUUAACUCACUUGGUGCACAAAUUAUGGAAUACCAGCUUAGAGAACCCUCCUAUGGCGUUUUUAGCUACUGGAAUUGAAGAGAAAUGAAGAGAAAUCUAGAUAUUUCCUAUUUAGUCCUAGUUUUAUUUAGUUAAUUUUGCAAUAUUCCAAUUUUGCCCUUAAUUUAUCAAUUUUCCUGCUGAUUUCAUGCCCUUGCCCGUCCAGUCCAUAUAAAUUUUGGGUCUAAUUUCCUUUUAAAUCCUCUCUCAUUAGACACUUAAGCUAUUUAAUCAUCCCAUCCACUUUUACACCUUUUACAAUUUAGUCCUUUUCAUUUAAUUAACUAUCCAAACAUUAAAAUUUCCUAACAAAAUUUUAAUACCACAUUACUAACAUUUCAUAAAUAUUUAUAAAAUUAUUUUUAACUCGUUUUUACGAGAUAAAGAUCCCGAUACCUUAUUUUACCCAAUUUAUUCAAUAAUUUCUUUUUCUAACUAACCACUAAAUCGGUAAAAUUUUUCUAUCAAUAUUUUCAUACGAUUUUCCUAUCAUAUCAAUUUUCAUGCAAAAAUAUUGAAAUAAAUUUCUCUUUAAAUCAGAUUUGUGGUUACAAAACCACUGUUUCGAUAACCUUGAAUUUAGGUCAUUACGUAACGUGUUGGGUUUCAGUUUUUCGUUGGACCAAAUAAUCGAAUAUCCUUUUGUAAUUUUCAAAUGUAUGAGUUUUUGGAAAUCAAGAAUUGAUCAUAGUUUUGAGGGUUUAAAGGAUCUUGUCCUAACGUGCUGGAUGUGAUACUGUAUUCCUUUGAAACAAAAGAGUUUUAAUGUCUAAUUCGUGUCAUUCGAAUGUUUUAAAAUAAAUCUAUUUUAAAAUAUUUUUUAAAUCUUAGGCAUAAUGACAUUAUUUAAUCAAUUUGGUACCAAUUUGGGGCGUAACGAGGGUGCUAAUCCUACCUCGUACGCAAUCGACUCCCGAACCCAUUUUCUUAAAUUGUGUAGGCCAAAAUUGAUGUUUUAAUAAAAUAAAGUGUUUUAUUAGGUGACCCGAUCACACCUAAACAAAAAGGAUUGGUGGCGACUCCAUACCUCGUUUUAAAGUCGAUCCCCAUUUUUUUUAAUUAAUAAAAAUGGUUUCGACACACUCCACCGCUCAUGUAAAUACAUCAUUACUAGCAUAGAUACAAGAAUUCGUAUGGUCGAUACAAUUAAAUUAAUUCCCUGCUAAAAGAAUAAAAAUGACUGUCUAUCGAUUGCAAUGUUGCUGAUAUUUCAGUAACUUGAUUUAUUUAUAAUAAUAUGAAUUUUGGCUGAGAAAAAAAAUCUUUUAAAUGAUUUAAUUUUUAUUAUGUGGAUGAGGUUGACGAAGACCAUUUCAAGUCAAUAUACAGCUCUCUAGUAUUACUAUUUUUAUCUCUAUCAAUCAUGCAUUAUUGUCUUGCAUGCCCUUUUUUUAAUUUUUGUUUUUCCUUUUAGUGUGAAUGCUUAAAAAUCACAGUAGCUAGUAGCAAGGAUAUGAAAGUAGAUAUUUUUGAAAUGAGUUAAAGAUGUGCAAAGAGAAAUUACAUCAUACUACACUUGUUCACACUAGCCAUCACUUUUAAGAUGUUGACUGCUAUUUCCUCCUAAUUAAUUGUUAAAUGAACAAACUCACUCAAGAAAUUGAAAUGCACUUACCGACGUAGAGAUUUAAGAACCAAAUAGCAAAACAAAAAAAAAACCAAAAUAAAUUAAAACAGUCCAUUAAACAGACCCAAAUAGACCCAAACCCCAUUACAAUGAAAAAAAAACCAAACAAAUCAAAUAACCCAAUGCCUAAAAGGCCCAAAACCUAGACCCAGGUUCAGCCAAAUAGAAACCUAGGGUUUCCCUUGCGCCGCAGCUGGCCUCCCAGCACCGUACAACCUCCAGCGCUUCAGCAGCCUCCAGCACACAGCCUCCGUACGCCCCACGCCGAGUGCCACGUACCACCACAGCUGGCCCCAUACCCCGUACCUGCAAACCAAAACACGACAGCGGUACAAAAUAGCAAAAAGAAUGUAUUUUUCUUUUUUAUUUCAGCUAUAUAAAGCCAUACAAAAUUAAUGUAUUGUUUUUUUUUUAGACACAAUUUAUUGAAAACGCAUACUGAAUUACAAAAGCAACCAAAAAUCAAAAGGUGAUUUCAGAUUCAGUUAUUCUUUUCCAGUUGUUUUCUUCUUUUUUUUUUUUGGUUUUACAUACUGUGUAUUUGGAGUAUAAAAGAAAAGAAAAGAAAAGUGAAGGCUUACCUUGCAAAUAUGCCAUGAGAUUCCUUCUGCUUCGUUGAAAUCGAGGUAUGAGGAGAUACCAAAGAUGAAAAAACAACCGUCGAGGCUCGAAUACACUGGUUGCCGACUGUUAUGGCGGAUCGGCGUUUGAGCAAAAGGCGAUUAGGGUUCGGCCGAAUAUGGAAAAGGGAGUGUUUAGUUUUUUUUUCUGAAAUGGCUAAGGGUAUUAGUUUUAGGUUUUUUUUUGGUUUUUGGGUAUUAGUUUUAGGGUUUUUAGUUUUUUUGUCCUGCUUCAGUGGCUCUAAAAUGGUGUCGUCUAAGCCAACCCGUUUCGACUCGACCCGAUUGCCCCCAGGAUCCGAAUGUUUCUGCGGAGAGGGGAUAUUUGUGCAUUGAGUCCUUCUUUUUCGCGUUGACGUUCAAUUGGACCCUAUUCAUAUUUUUCUUUUUCUUAAUCUAUUUUUGCAACUUGUGCAUAAAUCCAAUUUAGUCCGUGCCUCAACGCUGCGUUUGGGAAUCUGGAAUAUUUCCAGUUUCGAUCCCUACGCAUUCGCGCGCAUUAUGAUUUAGUCCCUAUUCUAUUUUUAAUGGCUUAUUUUAUUUAUUAAUUACUCCUUUAAGCUUCAUUUUAUUUCAAUUAAGUAUUUUUUCAAUUAAUAUGAUUUAUUUUUAAAAGUUCAUUUAGCUUUCAUCUUUUAAAUUUUUUUUAUAUACAUUUUGAGUUACUUUGAUGAAUUUACUUUGUUUUUUUUUUAGUUUUUUUUAAUUUAUAAAAUUAUUUUUUUCAAAUUCUCUUUUAUAUCAUAUGAUUUUAAAUUUUUGUAUAAUCUUUAAUUUAAAUUACCCUCAUAUUAAUACAUAUAUAUAUAUAAAAGUUUAUGUAAAAGUUAGUUGUGUUCUAUGAAUAUUAUUAAUCCCAUGUUAACUUAUUUAUAAAUUCCCAUGUUAACUUAUUUAUAACUUCUUUUAAAUCUAUUUAUGUAUAUUUUAUCUUUAUGUACAUAAUUCAUUUUUUUAAAGAACAUAUUUUAUUACAUAUUUUUGUGAUUUA
Molecule: long non-coding RNA, 8217 nt
Filed under: Gossypium barbadense (sea-island cotton)
Lineage: Eukaryota; Viridiplantae; Streptophyta; Magnoliopsida; Malvales; Malvaceae
Description: long non-coding RNA (GBAR_LNC000123)
Source: RNAcentral